Molecule: ribosomal RNA, 253 nt
Filed under: uncultured bacterium
Lineage: Bacteria
Description: partial 16S ribosomal RNA
Rfam family: Bacterial small subunit ribosomal RNA
Source: RNAcentral
UACGUAGGGUGCGAGCGUUAAUCGGAAUUACUGGGCGUAAAGCGUGCGCAGGCGGUUUUGUAAGCCAGAUGUGAAAUCCCCGGGCUCAACCUGGGAAUGGCAUUUGGGACUGCAAGGCUGGAGUGUGGCAGAGGGAGGUAGAAUUCCACGUGUAGCAGUGAAAUGCGUAGAGAUGUGGAGGAAUACCGAUGGCGAAGGCAGCCUCCUGGGCCAACACUGACGCUCAUGCACGAAAGCGUGGGGAGCAAACAGG